GAUGAACGCUGGCGGCGUGCCUAAUACAUGCAAGUCGAGCGAACAGAUGAGGAGCUUGCUCCUCUGACGUUAGCGGCGGACGGGUGAGUAACACGUGGAUAACCUACCUAUAAGACUGGGAUAACUUCGGGAAACCGGAGCUAAUACCGGAUAAUAUAUUGAACCGCAUGGUUCAAUAGUGAAAGACGGUUUUGCUGUCACUUAUAGAUGGAUCCGCGCCGCAUUAGCUAGUUGGUAAGGUAACGGCUUACCAAGGCAACGAUGCGUAGCCGACCUGAGACGGUGAUCGGCCACACUGGAACUGAGACACGGUCCAGACUCCUACGGGAGGCAGCAGUAGGGAAUCUUCCGCAAUGGGCGAAAGCCUGACGGAGCAACGCCGCGUGAGUGAUGAAGGUCUUCGGAUCGUAAAACUCUGUUAUUAGGGAAGAACAAAUGUGUAAGUAACUAUGCACGUCUUGACGGUACCUAAUCAGAAAGCCACGGCUAACUACGUG
Molecule: ribosomal RNA, 497 nt
Filed under: uncultured bacterium
Lineage: Bacteria
Description: partial 16S ribosomal RNA
Rfam family: Bacterial small subunit ribosomal RNA
Source: RNAcentral